AUUGAACGCUGGCGGCAUGCCUUACACAUGCAAGUCGAACGGCAGGCACGGGAGCAAUCCUGGUGGCGAGUGGCGAACGGGUGAGUAAUAUAUCGGAACGUGCCCGGUCGUGGGGGAUAACGUAGCGAAAGCUACGCUAAUACCGCAUACGAUCUACGGAUGAAAGCGGGGGAUCGCAAGACCUCGCGCGAUUGGAGCGGCCGAUAUCAGAUUAGGUAGUUGGUGAGGUAAAGGCUCACCAAGCCGACGAUCUGUAGCUGGUCUGAGAGGACGACCAGCCACACUGGGACUGAGACACGGCCCAGACUCCUACGGGAGGCAGCAGUGGGAAUUUUGGACAAUGGGCGCAAGCCUGAUCCAGCAAUGCCGCGUGCAGGAUGAAGGCCUUCGGGUUGUAAACUGCUUUUGUACGGAACGAAACGGUGAGCUCUAAUACAGUUUGCUAAUGACGGUACCGUAAGAAUAAGCACCGGCUAACUACGUG
Molecule: ribosomal RNA, 484 nt
Filed under: uncultured bacterium
Lineage: Bacteria
Description: bacterial SSU rRNA
Rfam family: Bacterial small subunit ribosomal RNA
Source: RNAcentral